GACGAAUGCUGGCGGCGUGCUUAACACAUGCAAGUCGAACGGAAAGGCCUUUUCGGAGGUACUCGAGUGGCGAACGGGUGAGUAACACGUGGGUGAUCUGCCCUGCACUCUGGGAUAAGCCUGGGAAACUGGGUCUAAUACCGGAUAGGACUGCACUUUAGUGUGUGUGGUGGAAAGUUUUUUCGGUGUAGGAUGAGCCCGCGGCCUAUCAGCUUGUUGGUGGGGUAAUGGCCUACCAAGGCGGCGACGGGUAGCCGGACUGAGAGGUUGGUCGGCCACAUUGGGACUGAGAUACGGCCCAGACUCCUACGGGAGGCAGCAGUGGGGAAUAUUGCACAAUGGGCGCAAGCCUGAUGCAGCGACGCCGCGUGGGGGGUGACGGCCUUCGGGUUGUAAACUCCUUUCGCCAGGGACGAAGCGUUUUGUGACGGUACCUGGAGAAGAAGCACCGGCUAACUACGUGCCAGCAGCCGCGGUAAUACGUAGGGUGCAAGCGUUGUCCGGAAUUACUGGGCGUAAAGAGCUCGUAGGUGGUUUGUCACGUCGUCUGUGAAAUUCCACAGCUUAACUGUGGGCGUGCAGGCGAUACGGGCUGACUUGAGUACUGUAGGGGUAACUGGAAUUCCUGGUGUAGCGGUGAAAUGCGCAGAUAUCAGGAGGAACACCGAUGGCGAAGGCAGGUUACUGGGCAGUUACUGACGCUGAGGAGCGAAAGCAUGGGUAGCAAACAGG
This 732-nucleotide ribosomal RNA is filed under the name uncultured Corynebacterium sp. RNAcentral describes it as "bacterial SSU rRNA". It matches the Rfam family "Bacterial small subunit ribosomal RNA", at positions 28 to 776 of the family's 1533-position model. Lineage: Bacteria; Bacillati; Actinomycetota; Actinomycetes; Mycobacteriales; Corynebacteriaceae. The record is from RNAcentral.